CGAGCACUGCCUGUUCACCCCGCUAUCAUCCAGAAGGCGAGUAUGUGGUGCUAAGAAUGUUGGGAAGUCCACCUUCAACCGUCACCUCAUCAGUACCUUACUAAACCACACUGCAAGUGUAGAAUACCUGGAGUGUGACCUGGGCCAGACAGAGUUCACUCCCUCAGGUUGUUUCUCCCUGUCUACUGUCAGAGAGCCACUGCUGGGUCCCCCCCUUCACACACCAGUGGGCCCCAGAGCACAUGAUCUUCUAAGAAGAUGGCACCGAAGAACAUGGCUGAUGUUUUACAUUCUCCCAACCAAUUGUGCUAUUUUGUUUUUUUGAUGUUU
This is a non-coding RNA of Salvelinus sp. IW2-2015, 330 nucleotides long. The record is from RefSeq and is a predicted model, not a curated record. NCBI's taxonomy places the organism in Eukaryota, Metazoa, Chordata, Actinopteri, Salmoniformes, Salmonidae.